UCUCUGGUGGUCCAGUGGCUAAGACUCCACGCUCCCAACAUGGGGGGCCCAGGUUCAAUCCCUGGUCAGGGAA
RNAcentral lists this transfer RNA (73 nucleotides) under Bos taurus (domestic cattle). It matches the Rfam family "tRNA". From Rfam's summary of the family: Transfer RNA (tRNA) molecules are approximately 80 nucleotides in length. Their secondary structure includes four short double-helical elements and three loops (D, anti-codon, and T loops). The record is from Rfam by way of RNAcentral. RNAcentral also lists the same sequence under 3 other names. Lineage: Eukaryota; Metazoa; Chordata; Mammalia; Artiodactyla; Bovidae.